Molecule: ribosomal RNA, 505 nt
Filed under: uncultured bacterium
Lineage: Bacteria
Description: partial 16S ribosomal RNA
Rfam family: Bacterial small subunit ribosomal RNA
Source: RNAcentral
GACGAACGCUGGCGGCGUGCCUAAUACAUGCAAGUAGAACGCACAGUUUAUACCGUAGCUUGCUACACCAUAGACUGUGAGUUGCGAACGGGUGAGUAACGCGUAGGUAACCUGCCUGGUAGCGGGGGAUAACUAUUGCAAACGAUAGCUAAUACCGCAUAAUAUUGAUUAUUGCAUGAUAAUUGAUUGAAAGAUGCUAUUGCAUCACUACCAGAUGGACCUGCGUUGUAUUAGCUAGUAGGUGAGGUAACGGCUCACCUAGGCGACGAUACAUAGCCGACCUGAGAGGGUGAUCGGCCACACUGGGACUGAGACACGGCCCAGACUCCUACGGGAGGCAGCAGUAGGGAAUCUUCGGCAAUGGACGAAAGUCUGACCGAGCAACGCCGCGUGAGUGAAGAAGGUUUUCGGAUCGUAAAGCUCUGUUGUAAGAGAAGAACGGGUGUGAGAGUGGAAAGUUCACACUGUGACGGUAUCUUACCAGAAAGAGACGGCUAACUACGUG